CGCAGCCGCGGUAAUUCCAGCUCCAAUAGCGUAUAUUAAAGUUGUUGCAGUUAAAAAGCUCGUAGUUGAAUUUCGGGGUCAGCAGGUUGGUCGUGCCAAUGGUAUGAACUGGCCUUGCUGAUUCCUCCCUCUUGAUGAGCCGUAAUGUCAUUAAUUUGGUGUUGCGGGGAAUCAGGACUGUUACUUUGAAAAAAUUAGAGUGUUUAAAGCAAGCAAGCGCUUGAAUACAUUAGCAUGGAAUAAUGAAAUAGGACGUUUGAUCCUAUUUUGUUGGUUUCUAGGAUUGACGUAAUGAUUAAUAGGGAUAGUUGGGGGCAUUAGUAUUCAAUUGUCAGAGGUGAAAUUCUUGGAUUUAUUGAAGACUGACUACUGCGAAAGCAUUUGCCAAGGAUGUUUUCAUUAAUCAAGAACGAAAGUUAGGGGAUCGAAGACGAUCAGAUACCGUCGUAGUCUUAACCAUAAACUAUGCCGACUAGGGAUCGGAUGAUGUUAAUUUUUUAAUGACUCA
Molecule: ribosomal RNA, 508 nt
Filed under: uncultured Glomus
Lineage: Eukaryota; Fungi; Glomeromycota; Glomeromycetes; Glomerales; Glomeraceae
Description: SSU rRNA
Rfam family: Eukaryotic small subunit ribosomal RNA
Source: RNAcentral